GUAGGUGAACCUGCGGAAGGAUCAUUACAAAUCCAAAACAAAAACCCGUUAAAAUGUUCUCGGCCUUGGGAUAUCGGUUGAUGUAGUAAGACAUGCGCUCUUCGGACUGCAAUCCAACUACCUCGCACCCCUAUCAAAGCAAAUUUGCCCUAAUUAUCUGUUUGCCGUAAAAUGCAAAUUGGAGAAUAAUGGCUGUUUCUUUAAACCAAGGUCCGAUCAAAUGACUUUACAAUUGCCAUUAAUAACCAAGUCGAUUAAAUUCGUCAAACAAAAACAACUUUUAACAAUGGAUAUCUUGGUUCUC
RNAcentral lists this unclassified non-coding RNA (304 nucleotides) under rhizosphere metagenome. Its description in RNAcentral is "partial ribosomal RNA internal transcribed spacer region". The record is from RNAcentral.